RNAcentral lists this transfer RNA (73 nucleotides) under Vibrio phage 1.081.O._10N.286.52.C2. RNAcentral describes it as "tRNA-Cys". The record is from RNAcentral. Lineage: Duplodnaviria; Heunggongvirae; Uroviricota; Caudoviricetes; Pantevenvirales; Straboviridae.
AGCUGGUACGCAGAAUCGAACUGCGACCUAAGGAUUUGCAAUCCCCUAUCCUACCUGAUUAGACCAUAGGAGC